GGCAGGCAGAGGGAAGAGAAAGGGUCUGUUGUUUUUCUCUCCUGUUUCUCGCUCCCUCUCUGCUGAUCACAAAGCUGCUGACCGGGUCAGAAAGUCCUGAUGGAAAUCCACCAGCGCUGGGCAGGCCCCUCCUCCUCCAGGGAGCUUGUCCUUGCCUAAUUUUUCUUCGUCCUGAUGAGAACAAAAAAGAGAGAGAGAAGAAAAGAAAAACCACAAACUUCCUUUGAAAACCAGCUUGUAGUCAGGGCCCGGAGCGCAUGCCAUAGACUCGGCGACUCAGGAAUCCUGAAGACUCUCUGAGCGACCUGGAGCACCUUGGCUGUGUCCCUGCCUGCCUUCACCCUCCUCCAGUGCCCCCAGUACUGGGCGUGAGUCCGGAAGUGGCCACAACCCAGCCUGGACCGUCGCUUAUAAAGCUGUGUAAACCUGUAUAAGCUCAGGCGUUGACAGCUGGAAGGCAGCUGGCACUGGCAGCCCCCUUCAUUGCACCUAUCUCCCCCAUCUCAUUGCCACGGCUGAACCCUCCUUCUCAAUCUUGGAACAGCACCCCCUUCUUUAAGUGGAAGGUGAAGCUCCCCCCGCAGAAGGAAGUGAUCACAUCGGAUGAGCUCAUGGCCCAUCUUGGAAACUGCCUCCUGUCCAUCAAGCCCCAGGAGAAGUCAGAGGGACUUCAGCUUAAUUUUCAGCAGAGUCCUGAGGCUGUGCGUGCAGUUGGGAAACUGAGUUACAACCAGCUGGUGGAGAGGAUCAUCACCUGCAAACACUCCAGUGACACCAACCUCGUGACAGAAGGCCUGAUUGCAGAGCAGUUCCUGGAGACCACCGCGGCCCAGCUGACCUACCACGGACUGUGUGAGCUGACAGCAGCUGCUAAGGAGGGUGAACUUAGCGUC
This 893-nucleotide long non-coding RNA is filed under the name Homo sapiens (human). RNAcentral describes it as "non-protein coding lnc-CERS2-1:1". The record is from RNAcentral. Lineage: Eukaryota; Metazoa; Chordata; Mammalia; Primates; Hominidae.